UGGGAACGAGAAGACACUCUUGGAGGAGUC
RNAcentral lists this non-coding RNA (30 nucleotides) under Homo sapiens (human). Lineage: Eukaryota; Metazoa; Chordata; Mammalia; Primates; Hominidae. The record is from RNAcentral.